UGAGUAACGCGUACGCAACUUACCUCCAAGAGGGGAAUAGCCCUGGGAAACUGGGAUUAAUGCCCCAUAGUUUAUUGACACUGCCUGGUGUUAAUAAUAAAGCUUUGGUGCUUGGAGAUAGGCGUGCGUCCUAUUAGCUAGUUGGUGAGGUAACGGCUCACCAAGGCGAUGAUAGGUAGGGGGCGUGAGAGCGUGACCCCCCACACGGGUACUGAGACACGGACCCGACUCCUACGGGAGGCAGCAGUAAGGAAUAUUGGACAAUGGAGGCAACUCUGAUCCAGCCAUCCCGCGUGCAGGAUGAAUGCCCUUUGGGUUGUAAACUGCUUUUACUAGGGAAGAAAGGUAGUCAUUUAUGAUUAUUUGACGGUACCUAAAGAAUAAGCACCGGCUAACUCCGUGCCAGCAGCCGCGGUAAUACGGAGGGUGCAAGCGUUAUCCGGAUUUACUGGGUUUAAAGGGUGCGUAGGCGGCUUAUUAAGUCAUAGGUGAAAGGCAUCGGCUUAACCGAUGGAUUGCCUGUGAUACUGGUGAGCUUGAAUUGGGUUGAGGUUGGCGGAAUGUGACAUGUAGCGGUGAAAUG
This 583-nucleotide ribosomal RNA is filed under the name bacterium MS-F-80. Its description in RNAcentral is "bacterial SSU rRNA". It matches the Rfam family "Bacterial small subunit ribosomal RNA", at positions 107 to 688 of the family's 1533-position model. The record is from RNAcentral.